Gossypium raimondii (Peruvian cotton) is the source of this 1843-nucleotide RNA transcript. RefSeq lists it as uncharacterized. The transcript has 7 exons. Lineage: Eukaryota; Viridiplantae; Streptophyta; Magnoliopsida; Malvales; Malvaceae. The record is from RefSeq and is a predicted model, not a curated record.
GAUAAAACGACUCGAGAAAAGCAAUCCAUAACGUCUGGUUAUUAUUCAUCUGCAUUUUCGUCCCUUCCAAACUCUACACUGAAGUCUGAAAGAACAUUCUUUAUUAAAAUCCAAAACCCAUUUCAUAAAAUCCGAUAACAUUGCUCACCAUCUUGAUUCUGACAAGUUGAUCCAUCUGAGAUGUCAUUUUUUCACUUGAGAUUGUCUGCUCGACAUCCACAUUCAAGCAAUGUUCCAGACACCCUUUUGUGGCCUAUUUCCUCUGUGGUGGAUUAUAUGCAUCGCCAACCAAACGUGUUGCUCUCAAAUUACCAUCAAUUUUUUGUGAAGAAAGUAUUUUCCUCUUAUUCCUGUAGAUGUUCAUUGAGCCUUCAGCCUGUUAGAGCUUUGCAAAGUUCCAUGGGUGCAGAGGAAGGAUUCAUGUUUUGCAACAGUUGUUGGUCAGAUGAUAGUAUAAAAUCAAAACAGAUGCAAAACUUGAGUGAGGAGGCUCAUGUAUAUGAUUGUUAUAGCUCUCAGGAAUUUUCCAAUGAUGAAGACUACAAGGAAGAGCAAAGGAGGAGGAAGAUAGGACUGGCAAAUAAAGGGAGGGUUCCAUGGAACAAAGGCCGGAAGCAUAGUGCUGAGACACGUUUACGAAUCAAACAAAGAACAAUAGAAGCCUUGAAUGAUCCCAAGGUUAGGAAGAAGAUGGCUGAACAUCCCCGCACUCAUAGUGAGGAAAGCAAGGCAAGAAUUGGGUCUUCAGUGAAGCGUGCUUGGGGAAAGCGUUUGAAAUGGAAACGGUUAGGGGAGAGAUUCUUUCUAUCAUGGAUGAAAAGUAUAGCUGAAGCUUCUAGGAAAGGAGGAAGUGACCAAGUGGAGCUAGAAUGGGAUAGCUAUGACAAGAUAAAACAAGAAAUAGUUCUUGAACAGCUACAGUGGGCUGCAGAGAAGGCCAAGGGAAAAGAGAUAGCCAAGGUAAGAGCGGAAAAAGCAAGAGCAGAAAGGAUAGCAAGGAUUGUUCAAAAGAGAAAAGAGCAGGAAGAGAAAGAGAAAGCAAGAGAACUGAAGAGAAGGAUGAAAGAAAAAGCAAGGCAAGAUGAGAGUGUGGCAGACUCCCAAGGAAUGAAACUCAAGCAGAGAUUACAAAUGAUCCGCAAAAAGAAAUCCAUAAGCAGUCAAGUCAGUAUUAAAGGAGACACAUCGCAUAUCCCAGCUCUGGAGAAAUUGAAUAUAGAGCUUAUAAAGAAACAGAAAAUGCAGAGUGAAGUUUCACUUGCAGAGCAGAUCAAAGCAGCCAAAAGCAGAAGAGCAGAACCAAUUUCUGCAAAAAUUCUGGCAGUCUCGUCGUCCUUUGUUUCAUAUAAUGCAAGACUAAAAGAGUAAGCUCCAAAUAUGUUUGUUCCUGUAAACAAAAUCAAAGCAUGGUAUGUCAGGCAGAAGAGGAAGUGACUCUCAUCCAUGAAGAAAAUUUUGAUCAAAGUGAUCAUUGACUUGCUUUGUUCCUGCUUUUGCUUUCAUAUUUUACCAGUUAUGUUCGGUCUUUUACUUUUCUGCUCUCCUCACAAGGUAGCCUAGUGGAUGCCUUUGCACUUGGAGCUUUUGCCUCUCAUCCGAUUACCAUAUUCAGAUUCAAACCGGAGCAAUCCCUGAUGUCUUUUUUUUUUUGAGAUAUAGAGUUUUGUGUUGCUUCCGCAUGAUAGUAUGAAACUAGUAUGUAUAUCUAAACUCACAGUAAAUCCUGUUAGGUAUUCUUCAAUACGGUUCUACUCUUUUGUGAUGUCAUUACACAGUAGUUUACAAACACAUUCCAUUGAUUUGUAUCAUUUUAGUUAUCAAAUGGUAUGUUACGAUUUCUGAA